AAUUCACAACAGUUGCAAACUGAUAUUUAAUGUUGCAUCACAGAAGAGUGGCUGUCUGGGGAUGUUUGUGCUGCCGUGUCACAGACCCUUUUAUUUCCAGCAUUCCCUGCCUGACACUCUUCUUUUAGGGCUGGAAAGUGUUUCCAGGGCCUGUUCACUACCAAAACCAGAGGUCUCCAGCCCCAAGCUGGACUCUGCAUAGACCCAGCUGGAACUUAACUAAACAAUGCAUCUCUCAGGACAAAAAGAGAGAAAUCCCGGCGGUGGGGGUCAGUUUGCUGGGAGUAGAGACAUCAGUCAGACGCAGAACGUUGGCCAAGCGCUUCCUCGGGUGCUUCACUCGGGGAACCUUGGGGGAAAAGCUGAGUCCCUCCAUCUGCUCGGUGAGAAAUCGUGCUGAGAGAGACGAGGAGCCUGGCUCUUCCCAAAGAAACAGCCCCUCCUUGCUUCCACUCAAGCAGUGCUUUGCCAGAAAGACAUGGAAUUGAUGAAGAAUGCAAAAACUCACAGCUUGUUGCUCCCUCCUCAUCCCCCCACUGAGAAUGAAAACUUGAUUUUUCCAGAAAACUUUUUUUUUUUGGGUUUGUUUUUCUGAAAUAUUUAUUUAUUUAUUCAUUCCCGUGCUUAGUAAUUAAAACAUUUUCUGGCAGGAAAAAAAUAAAAAAUAAAAAAGAGAGAAAUACCCAAAACGUAACCACCGUGCAUUACCAGAGGAAGAGAAAGGCUGCAAUUGCCAUAAAUAACACAGUGGGUCAUGAAUAAUUCAAACCAGAAUAUGGUUGUUAUUGUAAGGAGUUAUCACAGCUAAUUAUAGCCCAUUGCCAUCGUUCCCUCCAAAGCUCUGGCAUUGAUCACUGCAGGACAUGCCAAAUAUUUCACUAAAACAAAAUAUUGUGCUGGAUGCUUCCCUGUGGAUCAGCACGUCUUUCACUGAGAGAGUUUAUUGUUCUUCAGGGGUUUUUGCCCUUGGAUCAUGGCUGGAAGGAAAUUAAGAAGACCUUUCACUUAACCAAAUUGUUCAUCUCCAUCAGUCAAUUGGUCCCUGCAGACCCUUCCCAAAGUUGUUC
RNAcentral lists this long non-coding RNA (1067 nucleotides) under Ficedula albicollis (Collared flycatcher). Its description in RNAcentral is "lncRNA (ENSFALG00000028759.1)". Lineage: Eukaryota; Metazoa; Chordata; Aves; Passeriformes; Muscicapidae. The record is from RNAcentral.